UACGGGGGGGGCAAGCGUUGUUCGGAAUUACUGGGCGUAAAGGGCGCGUAGGCGGACAGUUUAGUCAGAGGUUAAAGCCCAGGGCUCAACCUUGGAAUCGCCUUUGAUACUGGCUGUCUUGAAUCCGGGAGAGGGAUGUGGAAUUCCAGGUGUAGCGGUGAAAUGCGUAGAUAUCUGGAGGAACACCGGUGGCGAAGGCGGCAUCCUGGACCGGUAUUGACGCUGAGGCGCGAAAGCUAGGGGAGCAAACGGG
Molecule: ribosomal RNA, 253 nt
Filed under: uncultured bacterium
Lineage: Bacteria
Description: partial 16S ribosomal RNA
Rfam family: Bacterial small subunit ribosomal RNA
Source: RNAcentral